Molecule: long non-coding RNA, 1483 nt
Organism: Orbicella faveolata
Lineage: Eukaryota; Metazoa; Cnidaria; Anthozoa; Scleractinia; Merulinidae
Source: RefSeq, a predicted model, not a curated record
ACAUUUCUCUGCCGUCCUCUACAAAACAACAACGUGAAAUGACCACAUUCUGCGUUGUUUGGAGAACGUGAACGACGAGAACUAACCUUUUAAGUUUCUAUUUCAAAUUUAUCGCUGUGUUCCAGAUUCAGUUUCGUGAUAGUUUUGACAGUGAUAAAAACAAACAAAAAUGACUUAAGAUUAUCGCGGGAUUCCUAGAAAAAAUAUAAAUUCACUUUAAAGUUUUUAAUUGAGGAUUGCCGUCUUGGUACUUAAACUCCCUAGUAGCAUGACCCGCUGGGACAAUUACAUCUCUUUUCCUCAAUGUGGCUCCUAGUUAGUUAGAAUGUAGUUUUGGGGCUGUUUGUUUGUUUGUUGCGUAGAAUUUCGGUAGCAGUCGUAACUUUAAACUGUCAGAAAACUAGGGUGUCGAAGAAACAGUGUGGUUCUUCAAUGAAAAUAAAAUAAAUUUCUGCGGUAUAUCUUAGCAGUAGUCAAAGGAACUCGAAUUUAACGUGUACCAACGUAUACUCACCAACAAACUAAGUGAACUAGAAGCCAUAUUGAUAGAAAGAGAUUAAAUUAAUCUUAAUCAAUUCUUAAGCAAACAAUGAUUUGCGAUGAUAUAUAACUUUAAAAGCGUGAUAUAUGCCCCUUAUUCAUGUACAAUUCCGUCUAGUGACAGUUUUUAAACGUAUACAUUUGUAUUAUAAAUUAUUUUUGUAUGGAACAUUUCCAAAACAGAGAUGCGAUUUUAAGGGUUUAUUGUUUUAGUGGUAAUUAGUUAAGGUAUUUUAGCUACAAUUUCUUAACUACACGUAGUGUACUGUGCAGAAUUUUUAACCAUUCAUCUUAUCUACAGACCUUCUCAAUGCAUGAAAUACGACUGUUGUCAUACAGUACUUGGUGUGAAAGAAAAUGCUUGUUAGAAGCUCUAUUUAUUGAUGUAGUUUUUAUCAAGUCUUAGUUUUAUGGACAAACCUACAUAACCCACAGAGGCGCUUUGCUCAAUCAAAAUAACCUACCCUGCGAGCAAGCACUUCAGGAGUAAGCGGUUGCUCCCCAAUAGAGCAUGCUUGCAGGCUGGAAGAGGGGCAGUUUCCAUGUAUUAAAAUUCUAGCGUGGCUCGUAGGCUUACUGGUUUUGAACAAAAUCAUAUUGAGGAUGAUUCUCUUAAGCGAGCUAGGUUAAAUAUUUUGAUAUAUCGAAAUUGGCUCGAUGCAAGACGCUCAAACGUAUAUUGUUCUGAUAGCUGUUGAAUGAACUUGCUUAACCAAGUUGUGUUCCGCAGCAAAUUGCGGUUUUCGUGAGACAUUACUAGUUAGCAUCAACGUUUUAUUUUAAACUCGCGAGUAAUCUGCUCUCUUACCGUAUUCUUAAUGCACCCUAUACACUGGGGAAAUGGUGUUCCUUUCGUUUGCUUUUUUAUUCAACGUAACCUGUUUGUAUGUAUCACAUGGUUGUAAUAUAACGUUUACUAAUAAAACAUUCUACAAAUAUUCCA